CUACGGAGGGUGCAAGCGUUAUUCGGAAUCACUGGGCGUAAGGGUGCGUAGGCGGUUUGAUAAGUCUGAUGUGAAAUCCUAUGGCUCAACCAUAGAACUGCAUUGGAAACUGUCAGACUAGAAUACUGUAGGGGCAGAUGGAAUUAGUGGUGUAGGGGUAAAAUCCGUAGAUAUCACUAGGAAUACCGAAAGCGAAAGCGAUCUGCUGGGAAGUUAUUGACGCUGAGGCACGAAAGCGUGGGGAGCAAACGGAAUUAGAAACCCUAGUAGUCC
Molecule: ribosomal RNA, 273 nt
Filed under: uncultured bacterium
Lineage: Bacteria
Description: partial 16S ribosomal RNA
Rfam family: Bacterial small subunit ribosomal RNA
Source: RNAcentral